RNAcentral lists this ribosomal RNA (1353 nucleotides) under Didymocyrtis cladoniicola. RNAcentral's name for it is "eukaryotic LSU rRNA". It matches the Rfam family "Eukaryotic large subunit ribosomal RNA", at positions 72 to 1445 of the family's 3401-position model. Lineage: Eukaryota; Fungi; Ascomycota; Dothideomycetes; Pleosporales; Phaeosphaeriaceae. The record is from RNAcentral.
GGAUUGCCCUAGUAACGGCGAGUGAAGCGGCAACAGCUCAAAUUUGAAAUCUGGCUCUUUCAGAGUCCGAGUUGUAAUUUGCAGAGGGCGCUUUGGCGUUGGCAGCGGUCCAAGUUCUUUGGAACAGGACGUCACAGAGGGUGAGAAUCCCGUACGUGGUCGCUAGCCUUCGCCGUGUAAAGCCCCUUCGACGAGUCGAGUUGUUUGGGAAUGCAGCUCUAAAUGGGAGGUAAAUUUCUUCUAAAGCUAAAUAUUGGCCAGAGACCGAUAGCGCACAAGUAGAGUGAUCGAAAGAUGAAAAGCACUUUGGAAAGAGAGUCAAAUAGCACGUGAAAUUGUUGAAAGGGAAGCGCUUGCAGCCAGACUUGCCUGUAGUUGCUUAUCCGGACUUUUGUCCGGUGCACUCUUCUGCGGGCAGGCCAGCAUCAGUUUGGGCGGUUGGAUAAAGGUCUCUGUCAUGUACCUCCUUUCGGGGAGGCCUUAUAGGGGAGACGACAUGCAACCAGCCUGGACUGAGGUCCGCGCAUCUGCUAGGAUGCUGGCGUAAUGGCUGUAAGCGGCCCGUCUUGAAACACGGACCAAGGAGUCUAACAUCUAUGCGAGUGUUUGGGUGUCAAGCCCAGACGCGUAAUGAAAGUGAACGGAGGUGGGAACCUUUUAGGUGCACCAUCGACCGAUCCUGAUGUCUUCGGAAGGAUUUGAGUAAGAGCAUGGCUGUUGGGACCCGAAAGAUGGUGAACUAUGCUUGAAUAGGGUGAAGCCAGAGGAAACUCUGGUGGAGGCUCGCAGCGGUUCUGACGUGCAAAUCGAUCGUCAAAUUUGGGCAUAGGGGCGAAAGACUAAUCGAACUAUCUAGUAGCUGGUUCCUGCCGAAGUUUCCCUCAGGAUAGCAGUAACGUAUUCAGUUUUAUGAGGUAAAGCGAAUGAUUAGAGGCCUGGGGGUUGAAACAACCUUCACCUAUUCUCAAACUUUAAAUAUGUAAGAAGUCCUUGUUACUUGAUUGAACGUGGACACUUGAAUGUACCGUUACUAGUGGGCCAUUUUUGGUAAGCAGAACUGGCGAUGCGGGAUGAACCGAACGCGGGGUUAAGGUGCCAGAAUAUACGCUCAUCAGACACCACAAAAGGUGUUAGUUCAUCUAGACAGCAGGACGGUGGCCAUGGAAGUCGGAAUCCGCUAAGGAGUGUGUAACAACUCACCUGCCGAAUGAACUAGCCCUGAAAAUGGAUGGCGCUCAAGCGUAUUACCCAUACCCCGCCGCCGGGGCAGAAUUUAUGCCCCGGCGAGUAGGCAGGCGUGGAGGCUCGUGACGAAGCCUUGGGGGUGACCCCGGGUCGAACGGCCUCUAGUGC